GCCUUUGUGGUGAAAUGGUAGACACACAAGACUUAAAAUCUUGUGCUUUAAAAAGCGUACCGGUUCGAGUCCGGUCAAAGGUA
This 83-nucleotide transfer RNA is filed under the name Phacus pleuronectes. RNAcentral describes it as "tRNA-Leu". It matches the Rfam family "tRNA". From Rfam's summary of the family: Transfer RNA (tRNA) molecules are approximately 80 nucleotides in length. Their secondary structure includes four short double-helical elements and three loops (D, anti-codon, and T loops). Further hydrogen bonds mediate the characteristic L-shaped molecular structure. tRNAs have two regions of fundamental functional importance: the anti-codon, which is responsible for specific mRNA codon recognition, and the 3' end, to which the tRNAs corresponding amino acid is attached (by aminoacyl-tRNA synthetases). tRNAs cope with the degeneracy of the genetic code in two manners: having more than one tRNA (with a specific anti-codon) for a particular amino acid; and 'wobble' base-pairing, i.e. permitting non-standard base-pairing at the 3rd anti-codon position. Lineage: Eukaryota; Euglenozoa; Euglenophyceae; Euglenales; Phacaceae. The record is from RNAcentral.